Molecule: long non-coding RNA, 517 nt
Filed under: Dendronephthya gigantea
Lineage: Eukaryota; Metazoa; Cnidaria; Anthozoa; Malacalcyonacea; Nephtheidae
Description: uncharacterized LOC114544273, transcript variant X3
Source: RNAcentral
CAAAUCAUUUUGACUGACUGUUUCACAGCACAUUCGUAUACUUUUACAGCAAAUCAUUUUGACUGACUGUUUCACAGCACAUUCGUAUACUUUUACAGCAAAUCAUUUUGACUGACUGUUUCACAGCACAUUCGUAUACUUUUACAGCAAAUCAUUUUGACUGACUGUUUCACAGCACAUUCGUAUACUUUUACAGCAAAUCAUUUUGGAUGGAACAUGUGAGAAAUCCUUUUGACCUUUGUUACAUUGACCCAUUUAAAAGAUCACUAUUAAGCAAACUUUGACUGAGAGUUUUUUAAUGAUGCAUGUGUUACGAAUCAGUGCAGCGAACGAGUGUACUUAGCGAUCCUUCACAGAGAGGAAAUGAUUAACCGUACAAUAAGGUAACUUGUGACAUUUUCCUGUAAUAAUUUUAGAUACAUGUAAGAUAUGGGAGGACAUUUUGUUUAGUCACGAUAAUAACUAUCAGGACUUGUACUAUAAUUUUCACAUCGUUUUUCAAGAUAGACUAGGAUAG